UAAUACGAAGGGCCCGAGCGUUGCGCGGAAUCACUGGGCUUAAAGCGUACGCAGGUGGGCACAUAGGCGUCUUGUGAAAGCCCUCGGCUCAACCGAGGAACUGCUUGGCGAACCAUGUGUCUUGAGGCAGGUAGGGGUUGUCGGAACGAUAGGUGGAGUGGUGAAAUGCGUUGAUAUCUAUCGGAACGCCGAAGGAGAAAUCAGGCAACUGGGCCUGUCCUGACACUGAGGUACGAAAGCGUGGGGAGCGAACGGGAUUAGAUACCCCGGUAGUCCACGCCGUAAACGAUGUGCACUAGAUCGAGGGGGUUUUGACGCCGCUCUCGGUCGAAGCGAAAGUGUUAAGUGCACCGCCUGGGGAGUACGGCCGCAAGGCUA
This 378-nucleotide ribosomal RNA is filed under the name uncultured Phycisphaerae bacterium. RNAcentral's name for it is "bacterial SSU rRNA". It matches the Rfam family "Bacterial small subunit ribosomal RNA", at positions 521 to 896 of the family's 1533-position model. The record is from RNAcentral. Lineage: Bacteria; Pseudomonadati; Planctomycetota; Phycisphaerae.